This 425-nucleotide ribosomal RNA is filed under the name uncultured bacterium. Its description in RNAcentral is "partial 16S ribosomal RNA". It matches the Rfam family "Bacterial small subunit ribosomal RNA", at positions 354 to 796 of the family's 1533-position model. The record is from RNAcentral.
GUAAGGAAUAUUGGACAAUGGGGGAAACCCUGAUCCAGCCAUGCCGCGUGAGUGAAGAAGGCCUUCGGGUUGUAAAGCUCUUUCAGAUGUGAAGAUGAUGACGGUAACAUCAGAAGAAGCUCCGGCUAACUUCGUGCCAGCAGCCGCGGUAAUACGAAGGGAGCGAGCGUUGUUCGGAAUCACUGGGCGUAAAGAGUGCGUAGGCGGUUAUACAAGUCAGGAGUGAAAUCCCAGGGCUCAACCCUGGAAUUGCUUUUGAAACUGUAUAGCUAGAGUCCCGGAGGGGUUAAUGGAAUUCCGAGUGUAGAGGUGAAAUUCGCAGAUAUUCGGAGGAACACCAGUGGCGAAGGCGAUUAACUGGACGGGCACUGACGCUGAGGCACGAAAGCGUGGGGAUCAAACAGGAUUAGAUACCCUGGUAGUCC